AUAGAGGUUUAUAUAAUUAGAAAUGAGCAGGAGAACUGUAUAAAAAAAGGCCAUAAACUUUGUUGGGCUUUCAAAGUCAAACGACGACGCAUUAAAUGCCUGCCAAUCCAUAUUAUUAAGGCCCAUUAAAGUUUUUGGCCCAGAAGGUGUUGUUCUCUUUCUCUGCUGCACUCUGCUCUGUUCUGCUCUGUGCUCUCUGCCAUUCUCCCGCUUCAGACCUAAAGAUCGUCACUCACUGGCAUAUCCCAAUAGUCGCAGAUGAAUUGCAUAAGGAGCUCAAUCCUGCAACACUUGGGACUGAGAGUCUCUGUCAGACCCAUUUUGCAGCUUCAGAACAAUAAUGUUUUCAAGAGUAUUGGUAAUGGUUAUAUGAAUUUUACAGCAGGAGCUGUUGCAGAUGGAGGCCAAGAUCAAAUCUUGAUUAGGGUUAUUGAACUGGUGAAGAAAUAUGGCAAAACUAACUCCUCUUAAGGUUACUGAAAGGGCUGAUUUCCAGAAGGAUUUGUCGCUGGACAGCUUAGACAAGGUGGAACUGGUUAUGGCUAUUGAAGAAGAGUUCUCGAUUGAGAUCCCUGAAGAAAAAGCUGAUAAGCUUACUUGCUGUGGUGAUGUUGCUACAUACAUACUCUCGGAAACUCCCCCCAAAGCGUCUCAAUCCUGAGUUAUCUCUUUCUCUCAGUCUUGUCUUCAAUGUUUGCAAGUUUAAGAGACAUGCUUUGUGUUGUUAAUUCAGCAAAUUUUAUUUGGGUUAGUUCUGCUAAACAUUUCAUAUGAUAUAUGUUCUACAAUGUGAUCA
Camelina sativa (false flax) is the source of this 796-nucleotide non-coding RNA. Lineage: Eukaryota; Viridiplantae; Streptophyta; Magnoliopsida; Brassicales; Brassicaceae. The record is from RefSeq and is a predicted model, not a curated record.